AGUGAACGCUGGCGGUAGGCCUAACACAUGCAAGUCGAACGGCAGCACAGUAAGAGCUUGCUCUUACGGGUGGCGAGUGGCGGACGGGUGAGGAAUACAUCGGAAUCUACUUUUUCGUGGGGGAUAACGUAGGGAAACUUACGCUAAUACCGCAUACGACCUACGGGUGAAAGCAGGGGAUCUUCGGACCUUGCGCGAUUGAAUGAGCCGAUGUCGGAUUAGCUAGUUGGCGGGGUAAAGGCCCACCAAGGCGACGAUCCGUAGCUGGUCUGAGAGGAGGAUCGGCAAACUUGGACCUGAGCAAGGUCCCAGACCCCACCGGGAGCAAGCGGGGGGAAUUAUUGACAAAUGGGCGCAAGCUUGUCCCAGCCAAACCGCGUGGUUGAAGAAGGCUUUCGGUUGUUAAAGCCCUUUUGUUGGAAAAAAAAAGAAGAAGUUUAAUACCCCGCUUUCCUGACGGAACCAAAGGAAUAAGCACCGGCUACCUCCUU
Molecule: ribosomal RNA, 491 nt
Filed under: uncultured bacterium
Lineage: Bacteria
Description: partial 16S ribosomal RNA
Rfam family: Bacterial small subunit ribosomal RNA
Source: RNAcentral